RNAcentral lists this ribosomal RNA (450 nucleotides) under Blochmannia endosymbiont of Camponotus textor. RNAcentral's name for it is "bacterial SSU rRNA". It matches the Rfam family "Bacterial small subunit ribosomal RNA", at positions 379 to 821 of the family's 1533-position model. The record is from RNAcentral. Lineage: Bacteria; Pseudomonadati; Pseudomonadota; Gammaproteobacteria; Enterobacterales; Enterobacteriaceae.
AACCCUGAUGCAGCUAUACCGUGUGUGUGAAGAAGGUCUUCGGGUUGUAAAGCACUUUCAGCGGGGAGGAAGGCGGUAGUGUUAAUAGCGCUAUCGGUUGACGUUACCCGCAGAAGAAGCACCGGCUAACUCCGUGCCAGCAGCCGCGGUAAUACGGAGGGUGCGAGCGUUAAUCGGAAUUACUGGGCGUAAAGCGUACGCAGGCGGCCUGUUAAGUCAGAUGUGAAAUCCCCGGGCUUAACCUGGGAACUGCAUUUGAAACUGGCAGGCUAGAGUCUCGUAGAGGGGAGUAGAAUUCCAGGUGUAGCGGUGAAAUGCGUAGAGAUCUGGAGGAAUACCGGUGGCGAAGGCGGCCCCCUGGACGAAGACUGACGCUCAGGUACGAAAGCGUGGGGAGCAAACGGGAUUAGAUACCCUGGUAGUCCACGCUGUAAACGAUGUCGAUUUGAA